CCACACUGGGACUGAGACACGGCCCCAGACUCCUACGGGAGGCAGCAGUAGGGAAUCUUCCGCAAUGGACGAAAGUCUGACGGAGCAACGCCGCGUGAGUGAUGAAGGCUUUCGGGUCGUAAAACUCUGUUGUUAGGGAAGAACAAGUGCUAGUUGAAUAAGCUGGCACCUUGACGGUACCUAACCAGAAAGCCACGGCUAACUACGUGCCAGCAGCCGCGGUAAUACGUAGGUGGCAAGCGUUAUCCGGAAUUAUUGGGCGUAAAGCGCGCGCAGGUGGUUUCUUAAGUCUGAUGUGAAAGCCCACGGCUCAACCGUGGAGGGUCAUUGGAAACUGGGAGACUUGAGUGCAGAAGAGGAAAGCGGAAUCCCAUGUGUAGCGGUGAAAUGCGUAGAGAUAUGGAGGAACACCAGUGGCGAAGGCGACUUUCUGGUCUGUAACUGACACUGAGGCGCGAAAGCGUGGGGAGCAAACAGGAUUAGAUACCCUGGUAGUCCACGCCGUAAACGAUGAGUGCUAAGUGUUAGAGGGUUUCCGCCCUUUAGUGCUGAAGUUAACGCAUUAAGCACUCCGCCUG
This 578-nucleotide ribosomal RNA is filed under the name Bacillus sp. Bz08. RNAcentral describes it as "bacterial SSU rRNA". It matches the Rfam family "Bacterial small subunit ribosomal RNA", at positions 308 to 875 of the family's 1533-position model. Lineage: Bacteria; Bacillati; Bacillota; Bacilli; Caryophanales; Bacillaceae. The record is from RNAcentral.